Molecule: long non-coding RNA, 466 nt
Organism: Musa acuminata AAA Group (dessert banana)
Lineage: Eukaryota; Viridiplantae; Streptophyta; Magnoliopsida; Zingiberales; Musaceae
Exons: 2
Source: RefSeq, a predicted model, not a curated record
CUCUUCUGAUGCUUGUAAUUGAGUCUGAGAAAGUUCAUCAGCGUGCAACCUAUAAAUACCCUACAGGUCUUUCUGCAAUCGGCAUGGUCAGGAGUUACCAUUGCAUUGGCUGGUGAUCAAAUUGUAUGCUUCAUGAUCUCCAAGGAAGGGAAUUCAACAUGAAGAGAUUUUUACUUGAUACUACCAAUCCAACCAAAUUAAUGAAAGCAUAUGGAAGUGUCAGACAAUGCUGUGUAAACAUAGGGUCUAAUUUCCAACCACAUGUCAGCAGAUGUUUCUUGUUCUUGCACUUGUAGAUCCUAAAUCCACUUCAAACUUCAUGGUCACACUGCCCAUCACAUUUUUAUCUUCUUCUUCUUCUUCUUCUUCUCACCAGCUGCUGCAUUUUGUACAUUAUGCUCUUCUCAUUUGUAUGUGUGUCUUCUUGGAAGUGGUGGUUAAAAUUGCUGGACAUGAGCUUAGAUUU